This 433-nucleotide ribosomal RNA is filed under the name uncultured bacterium. Its description in RNAcentral is "partial 16S ribosomal RNA". It matches the Rfam family "Bacterial small subunit ribosomal RNA", at positions 29 to 507 of the family's 1533-position model. The record is from RNAcentral.
AACGAACGCUGGCGGCAUGCCUAACACAUGCAAGUCGAACGAGACCUUCGGGUCUAGUGGCGCACGGGUGCGUAACGCGUGGGAACCUGCCCUUAGGUUCGGAAUAACUCCCCGAAAGGGGUGCUAAUACCGGAUAAUGUCUUCGGACCAAAGAUUUAUCGCCUUUGGAUGGGCCCGCGUUGGAUUAGCUAGUUGGUAGGGUAAAAGCCUACCAAGGCGACGAUCCAUAGCUGGUCUGAGAGGAUGAUCAGCCACACUGGGACUGAGACACGGCCCAGACUCCUACGGGAGGAAGCAGUGGGGAAUAGUGGAAAAUGGGCGAAAGCCUGAUCCAGCAAUGCCGCGUGAGUGAUGAAGGCCUUAGGGUUGUAAAGCUCUUUUAACCGGGAUGAUAAUGACAGUACCGGGAGAAUAAGCUCCGGCUAACUACGUG